Molecule: ribosomal RNA, 492 nt
Filed under: uncultured bacterium
Lineage: Bacteria
Description: partial 16S ribosomal RNA
Rfam family: Bacterial small subunit ribosomal RNA
Source: RNAcentral
AGUGAACGCUGGCGGUAGGCCUAACACAUGCAAGUCGAACGGCAGCACAGUAAGAGCUUGCUCUUACGGGUGGCGAGUGGCGGACGGGUGAGGAAUACAUCGGAAUCUACUUUUUCGUGGGGGAUAACGUAGGGAAACUUACGCUAAUACCGCAUACGACCUACGGGUGAAAGCAGGGGAUCUUCGGACCUUGCGCGAUUGAAUGAGCCGAUGUCGGAUUAGCUAGUUGGCGGGGUAAAGGCCCACCAAGGCGACGAUCCGUAGCUGGUCUGAGAGGAUGAUCGGCCACACUGGAACUGAGACACGGUCCAGACUCCUACGGGAGGCAGCAGUGGGGAAUAUUGGACAAUGGGCGCAAGCCUGAUCCAGCCAUACCGCGUGGGUGAAGAAGGCCUUCGGGUCGUAAAGCCCUUUUGUUGGGAAAGAAAAGCAGCAGGUUAAUACCCCGCUGUUCUGACGGUACCCAAAGAAUAAGCACCGGCUAACUUCGUG